RNAcentral lists this ribosomal RNA (208 nucleotides) under uncultured bacterium. RNAcentral describes it as "partial 16S ribosomal RNA". It matches the Rfam family "Bacterial small subunit ribosomal RNA", at positions 524 to 728 of the family's 1533-position model. The record is from RNAcentral.
UACAGAGGGUGCGAGCGUUGUCCGGAAUCACUGGGCGUAAAGGGCGCGUAGGUGGCGACCCAAGUCGAUGGUGAAAGCUCGCCGCUCAACGGCGAGUCGGCCACCGAUACUGGGUUGCUGGAGCACUGUAGAGGCUCAUGGAAUUCCGGGUGUAGCGGUGGAAGUGGCGUAGAGAGUCCGGAAGAACACCGGUGGCGAAGGCGGUGAG